Molecule: ribosomal RNA, 300 nt
Filed under: uncultured Acetobacteraceae bacterium
Lineage: Bacteria; Pseudomonadati; Pseudomonadota; Alphaproteobacteria; Acetobacterales; Acetobacteraceae
Description: bacterial SSU rRNA
Rfam family: Bacterial small subunit ribosomal RNA
Source: RNAcentral
CGCGUAGGUAUCUAUCUCCGGGUGGGGGAUAACUGUGGGAAACUACAGCCAAUACCGCAUGACACCUGAGGGUCAAAGGCGCGAGUCGCCUGGAGAGGAGCCUGCGUACGAUUAGCUAGUUGGUGGGGUAAAGGCCUACCAAGGCGACGAUCGUUAGCUGGUCUGAGAGGAUGAUCAGCCACAUUGGGACUGAGACACGGCCCAAACUCCUACGGGAGGCAGCAGUGGGGAAUAUUGGACAAUGGGCGAAAGCCUGAUCCAGCAAUGCCGCGUGUGUGAAGAAGGUCUUCGGAUUGUAAA